RNAcentral lists this ribosomal RNA (466 nucleotides) under uncultured bacterium. RNAcentral's name for it is "partial 16S ribosomal RNA". It matches the Rfam family "Bacterial small subunit ribosomal RNA", at positions 28 to 507 of the family's 1533-position model. The record is from RNAcentral.
GAUGAACGCUGGCGGCGUGCUUAACACAUGCAAGUCGAACGAUGAAGCCCAGCUUGCUGGGCGGAUUAGUGGCGAACGGGUGAGUAACACGUGAGUAACCUGCCCUUGACUCUGGGAUAAGCCCUGGAAACUGGGUCUAAUACCGGAUAGGAGCGCCUGUCGCAUGACGGGUGCUGGAAAGAUCUUUCGGUCAUGGAUGGACUCGCGGCCUAUCAGCUUGUUGGUGAGGUAACGGCUCACCAAGGCGACGACGGGUAGCCGGCCUGAGAGGGUGACCGGCCACACUGGGACUGAGACACGGCCCAGACCCCUACGGGAGGCAGCAGUGGGGAAUAUUGCACAAUGGGCGAAAGCCUGAUGCAGCGACGCCGCGUGAGGGAUGACGGCCUUCGGGUUGUAAACCUCUUUCAGCAGGGAAGAAGCGAAAGUGACGGUACCUGCAGAAGAAGCACCGGCUAACUACGUG